UACGGAGGGUGCAAGCGUUGUCCGGAUUUAUUGGGUUUAAAGGGUGCGUAGGCGGCCCGUUAAGUCAGUGGUGAAAGCCUCCAGCUCAACUGGAGAACUGCCAUUGAUACUGACGGGCUUGAGUACAGACGAGGUUGGCGGAAUUGAUUGUGUAGCGGUGAAAUGCAUAGAUACAAUCAAGAACUCCGAUUGCGUAGGCAGCUAACUAGGCUGUAACUGACGCUGAGUCACGAAAGCGUGGGGAGCGAACAGG
Molecule: ribosomal RNA, 253 nt
Filed under: uncultured bacterium
Lineage: Bacteria
Description: partial 16S ribosomal RNA
Rfam family: Bacterial small subunit ribosomal RNA
Source: RNAcentral